Molecule: ribosomal RNA, 253 nt
Filed under: uncultured bacterium
Lineage: Bacteria
Description: partial 16S ribosomal RNA
Rfam family: Bacterial small subunit ribosomal RNA
Source: RNAcentral
UCCGGAGGGUGCGGUCGUUGUUCGGAAUCACUGGGCGUAAAGCGCGUGUAGGCGGCCUUCUAAGUCUGGUGUGAAAGCCCUGGGCUCAACCCAGGAAGUGCACUGGAUACUGGAUGGCUGGAGUACCGGAGAGGAGGGUGGAAUUCCUGGUGUAGCGGUGAAAUGCGUAGAUAUCAGGAGGAACACCGGUGGCGAAGGCGUCCCUCUGGCCGGAUACUGACGCUGAGACGCGAAAGCGUGGGGAGCAAACAGG